RNAcentral lists this ribosomal RNA (403 nucleotides) under Fusobacteriota bacterium. Its description in RNAcentral is "Fusobacteria bacterium partial 16S ribosomal RNA". It matches the Rfam family "Bacterial small subunit ribosomal RNA", at positions 355 to 776 of the family's 1533-position model. Lineage: Bacteria; Fusobacteriati; Fusobacteriota. The record is from RNAcentral.
UGGGGAAUAUUGCACAAUGGAGGGAACUCUGAUGCAGCGACGCCGCGUGAACGCAGAAGGCUUUCGAGUCGUAAAGUUCUUUUAUAUGGGAUGAUAAUGACGGUACCAUACGAAAAAGCUCCGGCUAACUACGUGCCAGCAGCCGCGGUAAUACGUAGGGGGCUAGCGUUUUUCGGAAUCACUGGGCGUAAAGGGUUCGCAGGCGGAAAUGCAAGUCAGGUGUAAAAGGCAGUAGCUUAACUACUGUAAGCAUUUGAAACUGCAUAUCUUGAGAAGAGUAGAGGUAAGUGGAAUUUUUGGUGUAGCGGUGAAAUGCGUAGAUAUUAAAAAGAAUACCGGUGGCGAAGGCGACUUACUGGGCUCAUUCUGACGCUGAGGAACGAAAGCGUGGGUAGCAAACAGG